This is a long non-coding RNA of Dreissena polymorpha, 1018 nucleotides long. RefSeq lists it as uncharacterized. Lineage: Eukaryota; Metazoa; Mollusca; Bivalvia; Myida; Dreissenidae. The transcript has 3 exons. The record is from RefSeq and is a predicted model, not a curated record.
ACGUUCGAUUCGGCGUAAAGUCGCCAUGGUUAGCCCAGACAGCCUUCCGGCACUUUGUCAGAGGACAGAUCAUCUGAGAUGUGAUUGAGAGUCAUGAGGUAGCUGCUGUGCAAAGAUUGGGCUCGGAUCUGACAAGCCGCAAAUAGUUUGCCUUUUAAAGAGUGUGGCAUAUCAUUCCAACAAGAUGUGCAUUGCCCCAUCACCUUUGUCCAGCCACCUGGCUUGACUUGUAACAGAUAUCAGGAUUCCCUGCGGAGUAGUUGUGUGCUUACUUCUCGGGUUCCACCACCAAUGAUGGCUUCCCCAAGGCUACAACUACAUACAGAAGAUGAUAGUCAACAGUCAGCUUGUGUCAGAUGUAAGAAACGGGCAUUCAGCCGGCGAAUAUAAACCAGCACACCUUAACUGCUUGUUUUCAUGUGCAGUGCUCUUGGAAAGUGCAGGGAGAGGAUCUUGCUGGAACAGGUGCUCACCCUUCAGUUGGCUCGAUUGGUAGCGCCCAAGUCACUGCCAGCGCCCAUGAAUAGGCCAGACGCCCUGGAGAUGGGAACCACUGACGCAUGAUCAGUUCCCCAUCUAGAGCAGCACUGAAAGCGACCUCCUUAAAGCCUACUUUCUGGAAUACAUCUGUGUGCAGAGCUUGUACAUCAAGUUGAAGACUUACAAUUCAUCUCAUGGACAGUGAUAAAACAUUGAAACAAAACCUUAUUAUGACUGAAAAAUCUAAACAAAAACAAAAUUUGUUGUUGCCUUAUACCAGUGUCAUGGCACACUGGUCGCUUUACUAUAUGCUGCAAUAAAUCGCUUCUUUUCAAGGAUGAGGCUUUGUUGACUGCUUAAAUAAAUAUAUAAUAUAAAAUUACCUGCUCAACUAUGAAAUUAUGUGAAUCAAAUAUUGUGUACAACUACUGCUGGCCUCAUUAAAAAAACACAAUAUGAAGCUUCAUUACUAAAUGUGUGCGCAAAAAUUAUUUCCCGAUUCUGAUCAGUGACUCCUUUGUGUAGCUUAUGUUUAACG